Molecule: ribosomal RNA, 521 nt
Filed under: uncultured bacterium
Lineage: Bacteria
Description: bacterial SSU rRNA
Rfam family: Bacterial small subunit ribosomal RNA
Source: RNAcentral
CCAGAGAACUUAGCAGAGAUGCUUUGGUGCCUUCGGGAACUCUGAGACAGGUGCUGCAUGGCUGUCGUCAGCUCGUGUUGUGAAAUGUUGGGUUAAGUCCCGCAACGAGCGCAACCCUUAUCCUUUGUUGCCAGCGGUUCAGCCGGGAACUCAAAGGAGACUGCCGGUGAUAAACCGGAGGAAGGUGGGGAUGACGUCAAGUCAUCAUGGCCCUUACGGCCAGGGCUACACACGUGCUACAAUGGCGCAUACAAAGAGAAGCGACCUCGCGAGAGCAAGCGGACCUCAUAAAGUGCGUCGUAGUCCGGAUUGGAGUCUGCAACUCGACUCCAUGAAGUCGGAAUCGCUAGUAAUCGUAGAUCAGAAUGCUACGGUGAAUACGUUCCCGGGCCUUGUACACACCGCCCGUCACACCAUGGGAGUGGGUUGCAAAAGAAGUAGGUAGCUUAACCUUCGGGAGGGCGCUUACCACUUUGUGAUUCAUGACUGGGGUGAAGUCGUAACAAGGUAGGCGUAGCGAG